RNAcentral lists this ribosomal RNA (292 nucleotides) under uncultured bacterium. Its description in RNAcentral is "partial 16S ribosomal RNA". It matches the Rfam family "Bacterial small subunit ribosomal RNA", at positions 505 to 796 of the family's 1533-position model. The record is from RNAcentral.
GUGUCAGCAGCCGCGGUAAUACAGAGGGUGCAAGCGUUAAUCGGAGUUACUGGGCGUAAAGGGCGCGUAGGUGGUUGUACAAGUGAGGUGUGAAAUCCCUGGGCUUAACCUAGGAAUUGCACUUUAGACUGUAUAGCUGGAGUGCAGUAGAGGGUAGUGGAAUUUCCGGUGUAGCGGUGAAAUGCGUAGAGAUCGGAAGGAACACCAGUGGCGAAGGCGACUACCUGGACUGCAACUGACACUGAGGCGCGAAAGCGUGGGGAGCAAACAGGAUUAGAUACCCCCGUAGUCC